This 501-nucleotide ribosomal RNA is filed under the name uncultured bacterium. RNAcentral's name for it is "partial 16S ribosomal RNA". It matches the Rfam family "Bacterial small subunit ribosomal RNA", at positions 30 to 523 of the family's 1533-position model. The record is from RNAcentral.
AUUGAACGCUGGCGGCAGGCUUAACACAUGCAAGUCGAGCGGAGAUGAGGUGCUUGCACCUUAUCUUAGCGGCGGACGGGUGAGUAAUGCUUAGGAAUCUGCCAUUUAGUGGGGGACAACAUUCCGAAAGGAAUGCUAAUACGGCAUACGUCCUACGGGAGAAAGCAGGGGAUCUUCGGACCUUGCGCUAAAUGAUGAGCCUAAGUCGGAUUAGCUAGUUGGUGGGGUAAAGGCCUACCAAGGCGACGAUCUGUAGCGGGUCUGAGAGGAUGAUCCGCCACACUGGGACGGAGACACGACCCUGACGCCUACGGGGGGCAGCAGUGGGGAAUAUUGGACAAUUGGCGGAAGCCUGAUCCAGCCAUGCCGCGUGUGUGAAGAAGGCCUUUUGGUUGUAAAGCACUUUAAGCGAGGAGGAGGCUACUAGUACUAAUACUACUGGAUAGUGGACGUUACUCGCAGAAUAAGCACCGGCUAACUCUGUGCCAGCCGCCGCAGUAA